Molecule: ribosomal RNA, 397 nt
Filed under: uncultured bacterium
Lineage: Bacteria
Description: partial 16S ribosomal RNA
Rfam family: Bacterial small subunit ribosomal RNA
Source: RNAcentral
AUACGUAGGUGACAAGCGUUAUCCGGAUUUACUGGGCGUAAAGGGCGUGCAGGCGGUCUUGCAAGUCAGAAGUGAAAUUCCUGAGCUCAACUCGGGCGCUGCUUCUGAAACUGCAGGACUUGAGUGCUGGAGGGGAUAGCGGAAUUCCUAGUGGAGCGGUAAAAUGCGAAGAUAUUAGGAAGAACACCGGUGGCGAAGGCGGCUAUCUGGACAGUAACUGACGCUGAGGCGCGAAAGCGUGGGGAGCAAACAGGAUUAGAUCCCCUGGUAGUCCACGCCGUAAACGAUGAAUACUAGGUGUAGGGGGUAUCGACUCCCUCUGUGCCGCAGUUAACACAAUAAGUAUUCCGCCUGGGGAGUACGGCCGCAAGGUUGAAACUCAAAUGAAUUGACGGGG